RNAcentral lists this ribosomal RNA (422 nucleotides) under uncultured bacterium. RNAcentral's name for it is "bacterial SSU rRNA". It matches the Rfam family "Bacterial small subunit ribosomal RNA", at positions 355 to 774 of the family's 1533-position model. The record is from RNAcentral.
UAAGGAAUAUUGGACAAUGGUCGCAAGACUGAUCCAGCCAUGCCGCGUGCAGGAAGACGGCCCUAUGGGUUGUAAACUGCUUUUGUACCAGAGAAAACCUAUCUACGUGUAGAUAGCUGAUAGUAUGGUAAGAAUAAGCAUCGGCUAACUUCGUGCCAGCAGCCGCGGUAAGACGAAGGAUGCAAGCGUUAUCCGGAUUCAUUGGGUUUAAAGGGUGCGUAGGCGGGCUUGUAAGUCAGUGGUGAAAUCUCUCAGCUUAACUGAGAAACUGCCAUUGAUACUGCAGGCCUAGAGUAUAGAUGACNUUGGCGGAAUAUGACAUGUAGUGGUGAAAUACUUAGAUAUGUCAUAGAACACCGAUUGCGAAGGCAGCUAACGAAACUAUAACUGACGCAGAGGCACGAAAGUGCGGGGAUCAAACA